Molecule: ribosomal RNA, 253 nt
Filed under: uncultured bacterium
Lineage: Bacteria
Description: partial 16S ribosomal RNA
Rfam family: Bacterial small subunit ribosomal RNA
Source: RNAcentral
UACGGGGGGGGCGAGCGUUAUCCGGAGUUACUGGGCGUAAAGGGCGUGUAGGCGGUAUGUUAAGUCUGGCGUGAAAGCUCUCGGCUAAACCGGGAGAGGUCGUUGGAUACUGGCAAACUAGAGGAUGGUAGAGGCGUGUGGAAUUCCGGGUGUAGUGGUGAAAUGCGUAGAGAUCCGGAGGAACACCAGUGGCGAAGGCGACACGCUGGGCCAUACCUGACGCUAAAGCGCGACAGCAUGGGGAGCAAACGGG